UUAUAUGAUGAACAAUUUAUAGCUGAUCCUAAUGAAGAAUUACAAUACGAGCUUUUUAACACUGAACAAA
Molecule: small nucleolar RNA, 70 nt
Organism: Leptinotarsa decemlineata (Colorado potato beetle)
Lineage: Eukaryota; Metazoa; Arthropoda; Insecta; Coleoptera; Chrysomelidae
Source: RefSeq, a predicted model, not a curated record